Molecule: small RNA, 280 nt
Filed under: Piliocolobus tephrosceles (Ugandan red Colobus)
Lineage: Eukaryota; Metazoa; Chordata; Mammalia; Primates; Cercopithecidae
Description: Metazoan signal recognition particle RNA (ENSPTEG00000028197.1)
Source: RNAcentral
GCCAGGUAUGGUGGCGCACACCCGUAGUUCUAGCUACUCAGGAGGCUGGGCUGGGAAGAUUGCUUGAGCCCAGGAGGUUGAGGCUGCAGUGAGCUAUGGUCCCACCACUGCGCCCCAGCCUGGGUGACAGAGUGAGACCCUGUCUCAAAAAAUAAUAAAAUACAGCCGGGCCCAGUGGCACACGCCUGUAAUCCCAGCACUUCGGGAGGCCAAGGUGGGUGGAUUGCUUUAGUCCAGGAGUUUGAGGCCUACCUGAGCAACAUAGCAAAACCCUGUCUCU